Molecule: ribosomal RNA, 301 nt
Filed under: uncultured bacterium
Lineage: Bacteria
Description: partial 16S ribosomal RNA
Rfam family: Bacterial small subunit ribosomal RNA
Source: RNAcentral
CAGCAGCCACGGUAAUACAGAGGGUGCGAGCGUUAAUCGGAUUUACUGGGCGUAAAGCGUGCGUAGGCGGCUUCUUAAGUCGGAUGUGAAAUCCCUGAGCUUAACUUAGGAAUUGCAUUCGAUACUGGGAAGCUAGAGUAUGGGAGAGGAUGGUAGAAUUCCAGGUGUAGCGGUGAAAUGCGUAGAGAUCUGGAGGAAUACCGUUGGCGAAGGCAGCCAUCUGGCCUAAUACUGACGCUGAGGUACGAAAGCAUGGGGAGCAAACAGGAUUAGAUACCCCAGUAGUCCCUGUCUCUUAUAC